CCUACGGGUGGCAGCAGUCGAGAAUCAUUCACAAUGGGGGAAACCCUGAUCGUGCGACGCCGCGUGAGGGAAUAAAGGUCUUCGGAUUGUAAACCUCUGUCAUCAGGGAGCAAAUUAAAACACUAGUGCCACAAGAGGGAGAGACGGCUAACACUGUGCCAGCAGCCGCGGUAAUACAGAGGUCGGAAGCGUUGUUCGGAAUCACUUGGCGUGAAGCGUGCGGGGGCUGGUGCGUCAGUCGUGUGGGAAAAGCGCGGGCUGAACCCCCGGAGGGCCCAUGAUACUGCGGGACUAGAGUAAUGGAGGGGGAUGCGGAAUGCGCGGUGUAGCAGUGAAAUGCGUAGAUAUCGAGAGGAACACUGGUGGCGAAGGCGGGUUCCCGGCCACUAACUGACGCUGAGGCACGAAGGCGAGGGGAGCGAAAGGGAUUAGAUACCCUGGUAGUC
Molecule: ribosomal RNA, 446 nt
Filed under: uncultured bacterium
Lineage: Bacteria
Description: partial 16S ribosomal RNA
Rfam family: Bacterial small subunit ribosomal RNA
Source: RNAcentral